UGGGGAAUUUUGGACAAUGGGGGAAACCCUGAUCAAGCCAUCCCGCGUGUGCGAUGAAGGCCUUCGGGUUGUAAAGCACGUUUGGCAGGAAAGAAACGUCAUGGGUUAAUACCCCGUGAAACUGACGGUACCUGCAGAAUAAGCACCGGCUAACUACGUGCCAGCAGCCGCGGUAAUACGUAGGGUGCAAGCGUUAAUCGGAAUUACUGGGCGUAAAGCGUGCGCAGGCGGUUCGGAAAGAAAGAUGUGAAAUCCCAGAGCUCAACUUUGGAACUGCAUUUUUAACUACCGGGCUAGAGUGUGUCAGAGGGAGGUGGAAUUCCGCGUGUAGCAGUGAGAUGCGUAGAUAUGCGGAGGAACACCGAUGGCGAAGGCAGCCUCCUGGGAUAACACUGACGCUCAUGCACGAAAGCGUGGGGAGCAAACAGG
RNAcentral lists this ribosomal RNA (429 nucleotides) under Acidobacteriota bacterium. Its description in RNAcentral is "Acidobacteria bacterium partial 16S ribosomal RNA". It matches the Rfam family "Bacterial small subunit ribosomal RNA", at positions 355 to 776 of the family's 1533-position model. Lineage: Bacteria; Pseudomonadati; Acidobacteriota. The record is from RNAcentral.